CUCUUCCAUACAGCAGCCAGGAAAAUUUAAAAUCUGAAAUUGCAGUUAGCUAGAGUGUGAACCUUCCAUCCAUUGUCUGGGGCCAUGGGCCAACAGAUAGAACCACUAUUGGAGUCUUGGAAUACCUGGUUAAACCUAAUGAAGCGGGCAGAAUUGAACCUCUGAGCCUGAAACUGACUGCAGAUUUGCUGAAAGUAAUAGAAAGCUGUGAAUGGACAACCAGAUUCAAAGGUGUAUCAAUGUGAAAGAAGUUGAAUCUAUUGCCAGAAAGAGUAUGAGAGGAACCAGAUAAUGGGAACAAAACCUUCGUAGCCAUCCUGGUCAAUGCACAGAGGCAAGAAUCUAGUUGGGUGUGUGAUAGGAAAAUACAAGAUUUUUUUUUUCUCUAAGUGUGAUGGAUAGGCCUACAGCUCUAGCAUGGCCUGGUAAGAAGACCCAGGAGACCCAGACUGAGUGCCUGUUGUGACACUCUUGGUAGUGAGAUGUUUGAUAAAUCACUUCUCUGCUCUAGGUCUCAGGAUUCUCCUGAAUAAAAAUAAACUCAUCCCUUCUGGACUCUA
Ictidomys tridecemlineatus (thirteen-lined ground squirrel) is the source of this 560-nucleotide non-coding RNA. Lineage: Eukaryota; Metazoa; Chordata; Mammalia; Rodentia; Sciuridae. The record is from RefSeq and is a predicted model, not a curated record.